UCAAAAACAAAGGUGAGUGCGGAAAAAAUAUAGAAAUAACGAUCGUAAAAAAAAAGAAGAGAAAACAAAAUAUACUCGAUGGUUCGAAAAGAAGCACUCAUCGAAGGAAGAACACUCGAUUGAAAAAAAAGAGAAUGUCAAAGAAAAAACCCGAGCGAUUGAAAAAAAAAAGAAGUAAAAUGAAUAAACACAGUGAAGAGAAUAUUGACAUUGGCUCUGAAUCCAAAACCACUUACUUGUUUUCCCUUUUUAUUUAUUUACCACACCAUAAACCAGGCCCC
RNAcentral lists this long non-coding RNA (281 nucleotides) under Lathyrus oleraceus (garden pea). RNAcentral's name for it is "Pisum sativum (pea) long non-coding RNA (PSAT_LNC025519)". The record is from RNAcentral. Lineage: Eukaryota; Viridiplantae; Streptophyta; Magnoliopsida; Fabales; Fabaceae.